This 468-nucleotide ribosomal RNA is filed under the name uncultured bacterium. RNAcentral's name for it is "partial 16S ribosomal RNA". It matches the Rfam family "Bacterial small subunit ribosomal RNA", at positions 28 to 507 of the family's 1533-position model. The record is from RNAcentral.
GACGAACGCUGGCGGCGUGCUUAACACAUGCAAGUCGAACGGAAAGGCCCUGCUUUUGUGGGGUGCUCGAGUGGCGAACGGGUGAGUAACACGGGAGUAACCUGCCCUUGACUUUGGGAUAACUUCAGGAAACUGGGGCUAAUACCGGAUAGGAGCUCCUGCUGCAUGGUGGGGGUUGGAAAGUUUCGGCGGUUGGGGAUGGACUCGCGGCUUAUCAGCUUGUUGGUGGGGUAGUGGCUUACCAAGGCUUUGACGGGUAGCCGGCCUGAGAGGGUGGCCGGCCACAUUGGGACUGCGAUACGGCACAGUGUCGUACGGGAGGCAGCAGUGGGGAAUAUUGCACAAUGGGCGGAAGCCUGAUGCAGCAACGCCGCGUGCGGGAUGACGGCCUUGGGGUUGUAAACCGCUUUCGCCUGUGACGAAGCGUGAGUGACGGUAAUGGGUAAAGAAGCACCGGCUAACUACGUG